UAGGAACCAUGCGGAUAGACGCCGCCCAACCCCGCCAGGUCCGGAAGGAAGCAACGGUCAGCGAUUGUUUAUCGCGCCGUGGCAUCGGAGUU
This 92-nucleotide signal recognition particle RNA is filed under the name Treponema sp. RNAcentral describes it as "signal recognition particle sRNA small type". It matches the Rfam family "Bacterial small signal recognition particle RNA". Rfam says of the family: The signal recognition particle (SRP) is a universally conserved ribonucleoprotein involved in the co-translational targeting of proteins to membranes. The record is from RNAcentral. Lineage: Bacteria; Pseudomonadati; Spirochaetota; Spirochaetia; Treponematales; Treponemataceae.